GAUGAACGCUGGCGGCGCGCCUAACACAUGCAAGUCGAACGGUUAAAGCACCUUUUAGGUGUGUAUAAAGUGGCGAACGGCUGAGUAACACGUGGGCAACCUGCCCUCCUCUUGGGGAUAGCCUCGGGAAACCGAGGAUAAUACCCGAUACUUCAAUGUGGCCGCAUGACGACAUUGAGAAAGCUUUUGCGGAGAAGGAUGGGCCCGCGGCCUGUUAGCUUGUUGGUGGGGUAGAGGCCUACCAAGGCAAUGAUGGGUAGCUGGGUUGAGAGACCGACCAGCCAGAUUGGGACUGAGACACGGCCCAGACUCCUACGGGAGGCAGCAGUGGGGAAUCUUGCACAAUGGGCGAAAGCCUGAUGCAGCGACGCCGCGUGCGGGAAGAAGGCCUUCGGGUUGUAAACCGCUUUCAGCAGGGACGA
RNAcentral lists this ribosomal RNA (422 nucleotides) under Lancefieldella rimae. Its description in RNAcentral is "bacterial SSU rRNA". It matches the Rfam family "Bacterial small subunit ribosomal RNA", at positions 28 to 448 of the family's 1533-position model. The record is from RNAcentral. Lineage: Bacteria; Bacillati; Actinomycetota; Coriobacteriia; Coriobacteriales; Atopobiaceae.